GGGCCCGUAGCUCAGUUGGAUAGAGUGCCGGCCUGCGGAGCCGGUGGUCCCGGGUUCGAAUCCCGGCGGGCCCG
RNAcentral lists this transfer RNA (74 nucleotides) under Thermoprotei archaeon. Its description in RNAcentral is "tRNA-Arg". It matches the Rfam family "tRNA". Rfam says of the family: Transfer RNA (tRNA) molecules are approximately 80 nucleotides in length. Their secondary structure includes four short double-helical elements and three loops (D, anti-codon, and T loops). Further hydrogen bonds mediate the characteristic L-shaped molecular structure. tRNAs have two regions of fundamental functional importance: the anti-codon, which is responsible for specific mRNA codon recognition, and the 3' end, to which the tRNAs corresponding amino acid is attached (by aminoacyl-tRNA synthetases). tRNAs cope with the degeneracy of the genetic code in two manners: having more than one tRNA (with a specific anti-codon) for a particular amino acid; and 'wobble' base-pairing, i.e. permitting non-standard base-pairing at the 3rd anti-codon position. Lineage: Archaea; Thermoproteati; Thermoproteota; Thermoprotei. The record is from RNAcentral.